AAAUUCUUAUAAAGAUCCGGAGAAAUGAACUCUCCUAAGCAACAGAAGAACACGAGGUCGGAAAUGGUCCAACGCUUCUUUCCCACGACUUCUUCUCCUCCGUCGUCAUCCAUUAUCAUGUUCAAAGGCCAUAGCCACCGUACGUACAUGAGAACUGUCCAAGAAUAGCCACCCUGCGUCGGUAUAAAUGCCUCCUCGUCUCUCGUCUUCCUCAACACACGCUCACUGCACCCAAAAAUCCUAUCACAACCUCUAUCAGACCGAGAAAGCUACGUCGGCAACCACCAUGAGGGCGAGCUGCAUGGCCAUCCUGCUCCUCCUGUGCUUGCUUCUUCUGACACCGGCGACCUCCGACGCCAUCUCGCCUGCCGCGAUGUCCAUCGUCGCCUCGCCGGCGCCAGCGACGAGCGGAUCCCCCUCCUCCCAGGAAUGCCAUGACCAGUGCCUCGCAAGCAAGAACUGGAGAUUCUUCUGCAAUGUCAAAUGCUACCACAGCCUCUUCGAGAAGAGCAAGAAAGCAGAAACUACUGAUGAAUCAAGCAACUCUCCCAGUCCGAGUCCGUGAAGGAUAAUUAGCUGUCGUUUUGGGAUGGAUGAUCUCUCCGUUUCUAGUUUGAGUGUUUCUUUUUAGCUAUAAUUCUAUUGAAAUAUGUCUUGGGAGUUCGUUGAUGGAGCUCCCAAUUUUCAUUCUUUUUUCCUGAGAUUUGAUGCAUCUCAGAAAUUUUUUUGGUGUGGUUUUCCUCUGACCUUCUUUCUGUUCUCGAGAAGCGUCUGACCGAGCUGCACUCAAUAAAGAAAGGGUUGUUGAA
Molecule: long non-coding RNA, 809 nt
Organism: Musa acuminata AAA Group (dessert banana)
Lineage: Eukaryota; Viridiplantae; Streptophyta; Magnoliopsida; Zingiberales; Musaceae
Exons: 2
Source: RefSeq, a predicted model, not a curated record